UACGAAGGGGGCUAGCGUUGUUCGGAAUCACUGGGCGUAAAGGGCGCGUAGGCGGCUUGGCAAGUCAGGUGUGAAAGGCCUGGGCUCAACCCAGGAACUGCACUUGAGACUGCCUCGCUUGAGUCCGGGAGAAGAUGGCGGAAUUCCCAGUGUAGAGGUGAAAUUCGUAGAUAUUAGGAAGAACACCAGUGGCGGAGGCGGCUCACUGGCCCGGUACUGACGCUGAGGCGCGAAAGCGUGGGGAGCAAACAGG
RNAcentral lists this ribosomal RNA (253 nucleotides) under uncultured bacterium. RNAcentral describes it as "partial 16S ribosomal RNA". It matches the Rfam family "Bacterial small subunit ribosomal RNA", at positions 524 to 776 of the family's 1533-position model. The record is from RNAcentral.